UACGUAGGGUGCGAGCGUUAAUCGGAAUUACUGGGCGUAAAGCGUGCGCAGGCGGUUCGUUGUGUCGGCGGUGAAAGCCCCGGGCUCAACCUGGGAAUGGCGUUUGAAACUAAGGAGCUGGAGUGUGGCAGAGGGAGGUAGAAUUCCACGUGUAGCGGUGAAAUGCGUAGAUAUGUGGAGGAAUACCGAUGGCGAAGGCAGCCUCCUGGGCCAACACUGACGCUCAUGCACGAAAGCGUGGGGAGCAAACAGG
RNAcentral lists this ribosomal RNA (253 nucleotides) under uncultured bacterium. Its description in RNAcentral is "partial 16S ribosomal RNA". It matches the Rfam family "Bacterial small subunit ribosomal RNA", at positions 524 to 776 of the family's 1533-position model. The record is from RNAcentral.